Macaca mulatta (Rhesus monkey) is the source of this 372-nucleotide long non-coding RNA. RefSeq lists it as uncharacterized. NCBI's taxonomy places the organism in Eukaryota, Metazoa, Chordata, Mammalia, Primates, Cercopithecidae. The record is from RefSeq and is a predicted model, not a curated record.
CGGCCCAGGGAAGGACAGAGGGGGCCCGGGGCUCCCUCCCUCGCAGUCCUUACGGCAGACCAGGGGGACAGCGCCACCUGCUGAUGGAAGAAGAGCCCACCCGGGCACGCAGGAGCCCUUCGCUCUCCCAUCAGUAAGGCCCAUCCCUGGCUCAGGGCACCAGUCCCGGAGCCAGAAGACCCAACCCCACCCACUGGCUCUGUCAGGUCAGACUUUUCACUCGCGGCACGUCGACAAUGCCAGGUAUGGAAGGGUGCUCCUGAGAAUGAAAUGGCACAACAAACGGGAAUGAUGCAGCAGACCCGGGAGGACUCUGACCCUGGCAGGCUUCCGAAAGCAUCUCACCAAACCACCACAUAAACGGUAAAACAA